ACUUGAAAAUGUGGAAGUGGCUUUGAAUCAGAUAAUGGGCAGAGCUUGGAAGAGUCUGGAAGCCUCAGAAGAAGACAGGAAAAAAAGGGCCUCACUGCCUGAGAGCUUAUACAAUGUUUGAUCUACCAACAUGGUGCUCUGUAUCAUAUCACUUGAGACCUAAGGACCCACUUUAUGGUAAAGAAGGAAGACAGUGGGCACAUGACCACAGGACACAAUUGUCCUUUAACAUACCAUGCCACAUAGAAUAUCCUGCCCAAUAGAGUGAUGGAAUGGACUUUGAAGCUCAUCUCAGGUGCCAGCUUGAAGAUGAAACCCUUUGAGGAGAAGGCCCAGUACAUAUUAUAUACCAUAAGACAAAAACGUCCUAAUAAGAAGAUAAGGUGACCGAAUAAGGGGAUUACUUGGCAGAGAUAUGAGAGAACUGGGUUCUUGACCCCACUUUGCCAUGAACUUGGGCUUGUUGAAGAAAGUGGCCAUAUUGGUCAGCCUAUUGGGCAGGGAACUGCAGGUGGUACCCAGGAUCUGAGGAUGGCUUCCAGAUGACAGCAAGCAAAACCCAGGGCUCCCAGUCCUCUAACCACAACAGAAUGGAUUCUGCAAACAAUUCGAGUGAGUUUGGAAGCAGAUUCUUCCCCAGGGGAAAAUUCACCACUGAGCUCAAGCAUUGUAAGACAUCCUGUUCUAAGGAGGGAUGAGGACAAAUCCUCUACUGUUCCCAACAGUUGCACAGGGCACUGCAUCUACAGUUACCCUGAGAACUACAAGCAGGAGGUGAAAGAGCUGAGUCAGCCAAGGUCAUCUGGGGACCUAUCCACUGGCAGGCAGAGGAGCCUUUCCCUGUGGCCACCACUGCCUUCAGCCCAUAAGGGAGUUUUUCCAGGCUACCUCCGAUGAUCACUUAAAGCUCAACAGCUCUUCAUUCAGCUUGUGGUCAUGUGCAAUCCUAAUACACUGACUCUGAGUCCAGUUCAGCACUAAGAGUUACCAAGAAUUUCAGUCCUUGUGUCCUAGACUGCCUUUCAAGUUUACUUGGAACCCCAAAGCACUUCAGCCUGCUGUGGUGAGGCGUGCUGAGAAACUGAAGUUCAAGCUACUGGGCUGGGUGAUUCUUUUCUGGCUAGGUGAGGUCCAAAUGCUCCCUCUUGCAUGGGGGCUGGCUGAGCCCAGCACGGCUUUGCUCUCUGCUGUGACAGGGCAGCACUGAAUUCAAUGUAAAGUCCUCCAGUUCUGUGCUCUCCCUCCCCAAGUGCACAGACUCUCUCCCAACAGCAUGGCUGCUGCCAGGGGAAAUAUUAAGAAUGGUGUAGGAGAUUCAAGACUGUCUGUCUUACUUUCUUCAGUGACAUGAAGUUAAAACCAGGUAGUCUCCUUUAGUGACAUGAAGUUCAAACCAGCUGGUCUAAUUGCUCACCUGAUUUUUGAUUCUUAUGAUGGUUCUUUUCUAUGUGCAGAUAGUUGUUAAAAUUUGGUGUUAUUGUCAGGAUGAAGAGUGUAGACUUCUAUUCCACAAUCUUGCUCUACCCACUUCCUGCCCCCAGUUGAGAUUCUUGCAUUUUUGGGUUAUAGUUGUAUUAAAUUUGAAAAAAAUGUAGUUAUUAUUACAUCAAAUAAUUUUGCUAUCCUGUCUUCACCCUUCAUGGGCUACAAGUUGAAGUAUAUUAGGUUGCUUGACAUUUUCCCAGAGCUCACUUGUGCUCUGUUCAUUGAAAAUUGUUUCUAAAAAUUGGAACCACUUAAAAUUCUAUCCAAACAAUUCUGUAAUCAAAGAGAAGAUUAAAAAACAAAUGGAAGGAUGUCAAGAAAAUAAUAAUAACUCAGUAUGUAUCAGUCUAUGGUCAGUACAAAUUUACUAAGAAGAAAAUAGAAUAAAAAUAAUGAGUU
This 1884-nucleotide long non-coding RNA is filed under the name Homo sapiens (human). RNAcentral's name for it is "HSALNT0080138". The record is from RNAcentral. Lineage: Eukaryota; Metazoa; Chordata; Mammalia; Primates; Hominidae.